This 489-nucleotide unclassified non-coding RNA is filed under the name Hevea brasiliensis (rubber tree). Lineage: Eukaryota; Viridiplantae; Streptophyta; Magnoliopsida; Malpighiales; Euphorbiaceae. The record is from RNAcentral.
GGACAUUUAACAUGGUAUAAGAACCAAGUUCCCUUUCCUUUGGGUCAUUUCUCACAGGCUUAUGUGGAGGAGGACUGUUAAAAAAAAAUUCUUCUUGAUCACUUUGUCCCACAUUGUUUGCUUAAACCUGGUGUUUCAAAAACGAAGUUGAAAUCAGUUAAAUUCCUCUCAAGUUCCAGUUCAUCAAGCACUUAAAAAGAAUUUUGCCUUCCAAAAAUGUUUUCAUUCUUAGCUUUCGAAAAAACCCUUCACAAGGAGGCCAAAGAAGUAUAGGGAUUUUGAUUCUUUAUUCAAUUGAAAUGUGUAAGCAUGUUGGCCUAUUAUCCUAUCGUCAAAUCAACAUUUUCUAAAUUUAUUUUUUUUUCUUAUAAUUAUUCUUGAUUAUUUCUUUUGUUUUGCUUAUGUAUUUCAUAUAAAAAAUUCUUUUAAGUUUGUUUUCGGUUUGAUUACUACUAAAUUUAAACAUUUUUAUUAUAUUUUAUAAUUGUG